GACGAACGCUGGCGGCGUGCUUAACACAUACAAGUCGAACGGUAAGGCCCUUUCGGGGGUACACGAGUGGCGAACGGGUGAGUAACACGUGGGUGAUCUGCCCUGCACUUUGGGAUAAGCCUGGGAAACUGGGUCUAAUACCGAAUAGGACUACACUCUGCAUGGGGUGUGGUGGAAAGCUUUUGCGGUGUGGGAUGGGCCCGCGGCCUAUCAGCUUGUUGGUGGGGUGAUGGCCUACCAAGGCGACGACGGGUAGCCGGCCUGAGAGGGUGUCCGGCCACACUGGGACUGAGAUACGGCCCAGACUCCUACGGGAGGCAGCAGUGGGGAAUAUUGCACAAUGGGCGCAAGCCUGAUGCAGCGACGCCGCGUGGGGGAUGACGGCCUCGGGUUGUAAACCUCUUUCAGCACAGACGAAGCGCAAGUGACGGUAUGUGCAGAAGAAGGACCGGCCAACUACGUGCCAGCCGCCGCGGUAA
Molecule: ribosomal RNA, 479 nt
Filed under: uncultured bacterium
Lineage: Bacteria
Description: partial 16S ribosomal RNA
Rfam family: Bacterial small subunit ribosomal RNA
Source: RNAcentral